RNAcentral lists this long non-coding RNA (201 nucleotides) under Elaeis guineensis (African oil palm). RNAcentral describes it as "long non-coding RNA (EGUI_LNC046312)". The record is from RNAcentral. Lineage: Eukaryota; Viridiplantae; Streptophyta; Magnoliopsida; Arecales; Arecaceae.
CGGCCACGGACGACCCUACUCUGAACUUCUUCUGGACUUCAUCAAUAUUCGAGCUUCUCCGACAAUGAGAUUUCUACAGUAAUCAGACUCCAUUCAAGUUUCUACGAUGAUCGACCACCUUUUGGAUUCCACCCGAGCUCCUGCGAGAGCCGAACUUCUACCCAAGCAGUCCACUCUGAACUCCUACUGCAGGCGGUCUAC